RNAcentral lists this ribosomal RNA (397 nucleotides) under uncultured bacterium. RNAcentral's name for it is "bacterial SSU rRNA". It matches the Rfam family "Bacterial small subunit ribosomal RNA", at positions 135 to 518 of the family's 1533-position model. The record is from RNAcentral.
GAACGAGGAUAACGACUGGAAACGGUCGCUAAAACUGGAUAGGAUCAUUUGAGGCAUCUCGAAUGAUUUAAAGGGGCUUUCAAGCCACACUUAGAGAAAGGCCUGCGGCGCAUUAGCUAGUUGGUGGGGUAGAGGCCUACCAAGGCGAUGAUGCGUAGCCGGACUGAGAGGUCGAACGGCCACAUUGGGACUGAGACACGGCCCAAACUCCUACGGGAGGCAGCAGUAGGGAAUUUUCGGCAAUGGGGGAAACCCUGACCGAGCAACGCCGCGUGAAUGAAGACGUAUUUCGGUAUGUAAAGUUCUUUUAUUAAGGAAGAAUAUCACGGAUAGGAAAUGAUCUGUGAGUGACGGUACUUAAUGAAUAAGCCCCGGCUAACUAUGUGCCAGCCGCCGC